AUUGAACGCUGGCGGCAUGCUUUACACAUGCAAGACGAACGGCAGCACGGGCUUCGGCCUGGUGGCGAGUGGCGAACGGGUGAGUAAUAUAUCGGAACGUACCCAGAAGUGGGGGAUAACGUAGCGAAAGUUACGCUAAUACCGCAUACGAUCUAUGGAUGAAAGCAGGGGACCGCAAGGCCUUGUGCUCCUGGAGCGGCCGAUAUCUGAUUAGCUAGUUGGUGAGGUAAAGGCUCACCAAGGCGACGAUCAGUAGCUGGUCUGAGAGGACGACCAGCCACACUGGAACUGAGACACGGUCCAGACUCCUACGGGAGGCAGCAGUGGGGAAUUUUGGACAAUGGGCGCAAGCCUGAUCCAGCAAUGCCGCGUGAGUGAAGAAGGCCUUCGGGUUGUAAAGCUCUUUUGUCAGGGAAGAAACGGUAGAGGCUAAUAUCCUUUGCUAAUGACGGUACCUGAAGAAUAAGCACCGGCUAACUACGUG
Molecule: ribosomal RNA, 484 nt
Filed under: uncultured bacterium
Lineage: Bacteria
Description: partial 16S ribosomal RNA
Rfam family: Bacterial small subunit ribosomal RNA
Source: RNAcentral